GACAGAGGGUGCAAGCGUUGUUCGGAAUUACUGGGCGUAAAGCGCGUGUAGGCGGCCCUGCAAGUCGGGUGUGAAAUCCCACGGCUCAACCGUGGAAGUGCACUCGAAACUGCAGGGCUAGAGUCCUGGAGAGGAAGGUGGAAUGCCUGGUGUAGAGGUGAAAUUCGUAGAUAUCAAGCGGAACACCGGUGGCGAAGGCGGCCUUCUGGACAGUGACUGACGCUGAGACGCGAAAGCGUGGGGAGCAAACAGG
Molecule: ribosomal RNA, 253 nt
Filed under: uncultured bacterium
Lineage: Bacteria
Description: partial 16S ribosomal RNA
Rfam family: Bacterial small subunit ribosomal RNA
Source: RNAcentral